GACGAACGCUGGCGGCGUGCUUAACACAUGCAAGUCGAACGAGUGGCGAACGGGUGAGUAACGCGUGAGUAACCUGCCCCCUCUCUGGGAUAACAGUUGGAAACGGCUGCUAAUACCGGAUAGUGGGGGAUGGACUCGCGUCCUAUCAGCUUGUUGGUGGGGUAGUGGCCUACCAAGUCGACGACGGGUAGCCGGUCUGAGAGGAUGAACGGCCACAUUGGGACUGAGACACGGCCCAGACUCCUACGGGAGGCAGCAGUGGGGAAUCUUCCGCAAUGGACGAAAGUCUGACGGAGCAACGCCGCGUGUAUGAAGAAGGCCUUCGGGUUGUAAAGUACUUUCAGCGAGGAGGCGUUACUCGCAGAAGAAGCACCGGCUAACUCCGUGCCAGCAGCCGCGGUAAUUC
Molecule: ribosomal RNA, 406 nt
Filed under: uncultured bacterium
Lineage: Bacteria
Description: partial 16S ribosomal RNA
Rfam family: Bacterial small subunit ribosomal RNA
Source: RNAcentral